ACAGGUAAAUGGAUCCACUGUAAGGGAGCAUUUUGAUAUAACACUGCUGGAGGAUCGCUUGAGCUCAGGAGUUCUGGGCUGCAGUGCGCUAUGCCGAUCGGGUGUCCGCACUAAGUUCGGCAUCAAUAUGGUGACCUCCCGGGAGCGGGGGACCACCAGGUUGCCUAAGGAGGGGUGAACCGGCCCAGGUCGGAAACGGAGCAGGUCAAAACUCCCGUGCUGAUCAGUAGUGGGAUCGCGCCUGUGAAUAGCCACUGUACUCCAGCCUGGGCAACAUAGCGAGACCCU
This 288-nucleotide signal recognition particle RNA is filed under the name Cervus hanglu yarkandensis (Yarkand deer). Its description in RNAcentral is "Metazoan signal recognition particle RNA (ENSCHYG00000018968.1)". It matches the Rfam family "Metazoan signal recognition particle RNA". From Rfam's summary of the family: The signal recognition particle (SRP) is a universally conserved ribonucleoprotein. The record is from Rfam by way of RNAcentral. Lineage: Eukaryota; Metazoa; Chordata; Mammalia; Artiodactyla; Cervidae.